This is a long non-coding RNA of Cydia fagiglandana, 6741 nucleotides long. RefSeq lists it as uncharacterized. NCBI's taxonomy places the organism in Eukaryota, Metazoa, Arthropoda, Insecta, Lepidoptera, Tortricidae. The transcript is spliced from 2 exons. The record is from RefSeq and is a predicted model, not a curated record.
GUGAGUAGGCACAUGACGUGUUGGGUAUUAGGGUCAACACGUCAUGUGACAUUUAGGUGACAUUUAAUAAAUAGAAAAUAUAUUUAAUAAAAUAAACAAUAAUUCUAAGUACAUUUCAUAAAGGUCACCUAAAUGCCACUCACGUAGGCCACUAGUAUAUAAGCACCAAUUUACUCAAUAAAGGAGUUCAGUAUUCAGCAGACUUUCAUAGUAUUAUUUGCUACCCGAACGCUCCACAUUACAUGGCGACCCUGCCAGUGGAACUGCUCAGCAGUUCUGGUAUCACCACCUUCGGAAUCGUCUAAGUUGCGCCGCCCAGCCAUUCAGCCAGCCAGCCAGCCACCCAGUCAACCAGCAAGCCAGCUAGCCAGCACCACUAAGCACAGCACUAGACCGCGUCACGCAGCUACGACCCUGAACAACUAUGGAACCGAGCACAGCUUCAGCCCAGUGCGGCAAUAAGAUCACAGUAACAAUAACGGUAAACACUGAUGGACAGCCUACAAGAACAGCACAAUGGACAAGGAAGCAGCCACAUACCCGCCAUCGACCCCAACCGCCAACCCCGCCAGUACAGCGUACUCAGCAAUACCACCAAGCCAACACGUCAAGGAAGAAGAAUAAAGGGCGAGCCACACGCCACAUCCAAGCGACCAUAACCACCAAUAAUACUUCAAUAGAAGAUCAGGAUGAAGACUGGACAAAGGUACCCACAUCAAACUAAAUAAUCUUCUUUAAACAUUUUUUUUUUCUCUUUCCCUCGAAAAUUAUCAUUAAAUAUAAUCUAUGCAUCAAAUCUAUAAUAUUAAUAAUGUAUAAACUAUUCUUUAAACAUGCAGAUAUUGCAGAUACGUCUAUGAGCGAUAUUUCAAAUUCUACUAUCUAUUAAUUUAUUAAUUAUAAUUAAUUUACGAUUACUACUUGAUGACGAAAAGCAAAACAUGAAUAUAUGUUAAAAAAAAUAUAUAUUCACCAGUUGACCACAAGUAAUUAAUUUUAAAGUACAUCCGAACGAGUCCAAGUAAUUGCCGAAAUAUAAUAAAUUUAAAUAAUACCUACUUAAUAUUUAACAUAAAAAAAAAACCCAGUAAAAAAAUAUAUAUAUAUAAUUAUGUACGUAUAGAUAACAUUAAAUAUCAAAAACUUGUUAAACUAAAACAAUUAAUAACGCAAAAACAUUUUCUGAUAUCCAUCAAUAAUUUCAACCAGUGCAUCAUUCGUUAAUUAAAACAAAUAAACAAAAAUUUAAACAAACAAUACACAUAUAACGCGUCGCAUGGUUAACUCAAAAAACUUUACACAAUCAGCAACAUUAAAUAUCAAACACGGGGGUGCAUUCCAUUAUUCCCAUCUUUGCAAUUAACGUAUAUUAUAUAUUUUAAAGACCAGAAUAUAAAAAAAAACACCCGUUACUAACAAUAACACUAACAUUAACAUCAUAAUAUCAUUAUUUAGCUUCGUUAAAAACAAAACAACCCACUAACCACCAACCAACCACCAACCACCACCUCCCACCUACUAACCCACUACUACCCACCACUUACCCUAACAAACUAACCUAACAUUUCAAAACCCCACUAACCCACUAAUAGCCAACACUAACACUAACAAACUAACCUAACAUCUCAAAACAAAACCUAUUUCCCAACAUAAAGACAAAACCACUAACAAACAAACCUAACAGUAACUUUGACUAACUGACAAACACUAGAAUCUACUAUUCCACACAUUAAACAACAUCACUUAUGGUGUAUUCAAAUUAUUAUCCAAUUUAACGUUCAAAAAUUUAGCUUUCACACCAUUUGGUUUUCAGUAGGUAACAUAUUUAAUACAUUUUUGCAAAUACCCUCUUAAAAAAUUAAAAAAAAAAAACCUAAUCAAAUCAUUUCACUAUUGCAAUUUUAUUAACCAAACAAACUUUUAUUGGUAAAAUAGAAGUAUUUAACAUGUCAACAAUUUAUUCCUAAAUACAAAACACAUUAAUAUUUUAUACAUGAAAACAUUGCUUACACCGAAUAUCAUUAUUAUAUUAGGACUAAUAAUUUCAACUUAUAAUAAUUUCAAUAUAUUAUAAAAAAUUCAUAUAUUUAAAUAAUUUUAUUUUAUAUAUUUUAAUACCUUUAACGCGAUUUAUAAUCUAUUUCUUUUUAAAUUAUUAUUACUAUCCACUCAAUUUAAAAAUUUGUCAUCAUUUUUUUUUUAAAUUAACAGUAUAGCUUAUUACUAUGACAUGUCAUGGUUAUCGUCAAUCAAAAUGUAUAGCCAAUCUGAGUAAUUUUUUUUUCCUAAAGUAAAUAAAUAACAUUCUUACAUUAACUUACAUUUAUAUAUCAAUAUUAUUCAAACCACGAAUCUACUACUUAACUAAUUAAUUAUUGCAUAAAAAUAAGAAAAUACCAUCGGCCACUCACCACUCUCAUAUCCUUAUAAUAUUCAAAUAUAAAGAAUAAUACAAAAAUUAAAUUAGAUCAUUAAUAUUCACAUCUAAAUAAUUGCCAAUAACAACAAAACAUACAAAGUAACACAUAACAACACUAAAUACUAAUCUAUUUAAAAAUACGAUUAAUGGAAUGCACCAGCCUUGUGAAGGCCGCGUCACGCGUACUCGUCAUACGUCACCCAAUACGGAUGCAACACAUGCUAUGUCAUCUUAAAUUUCGAGUACAUAAAUUAAGGAAAAAAAAAGCAAUAAACAGUUCAUACAUUUGACGCAUUAUUAGAGUUUUAAACUAAAAAAUUAUUCACAACAUAUGAUAUAAAAAUUAAGGCAUCAAUUAGGUAAUACGAGUAGGUAUAAAAUAAAUAUAAUGAAAGACAAAUAAACAAAAUAAAAGGGAAGGAAAAAUCUAAACAUCACAUUGAAAGAGCUAAAUCAGAUAAGUGUUGCAACCAACAAUUAGCCUGAUCAACUAAAAGUUAUUGUGACUCUUAUAUGCUUUAAGUUUUCAAAGUGAUGAUUUCCUUUCAAAACGGGGUAGCUCGUGGAAAUAAAUAAUGUAAGCAAGGUACACCAGGAUACAACCAGGCAAUAACCCUUGAAACCUAAACAAUUCGAGCGAGCUCUCAAUUGCAGCGGUCCUUGGGCACACGGAAAGGUUUUUUGUUGUUCCGAUGUGUGAAAACAACUGUCUGGCAGUGCAUAUUACGCGUAAUAUGUAUCAGCGCGCUAUAAUAAAUAAUAAAUUUUUGUAUCCUUAAUAAAUAUGUUGUAUGUAAAAAAGGUCGGCCGACCGAGAGCGCUAUUGAAAGGCGCUGUGUACUUUUUAAAAGACAGGUGACAGGUAUCACAAAGUCAGCUUACAUUAUUUAUUAGGUCACAAUGCAGACAUUACAAAAUGGCUCAUUGGCGAUCAAUUCCUACAAUAAUAAACAAAUUUUCCACAAAUCACGAGCAAACUAAAUUCUAAAAAAAAUAAAAUAAUAAUAAAUGAAAACCCCAGGGAAAAUAAUAGACACUAUAACACAGAAAAACAUUUUUUUUUUACAAGCACUGAAUCCUUGAGACAUCAUGAUACGGUCGAGUUACCUAGCAUGAAGGUCCUUGGACACAUAGUAUGUUUAUUAAUAUAAACAUGUGUUAAAAACAGCCUGUAAAAAAUACAGUGAAACCUGGAUAAGUGAGAUCUCAAGGGACGAGCAAAUUUGUCUCACUUAAAGAGGUUUUCCACUUACCCAGGUUCCCAGUUAGCCAGGUACAGAUAAAUUUCUGUCUCAUUUACAGAGGUUUUCAUUAAUAGAGGUGAGAAUAGAGUAUAUUUCAGUUAUAGAGGUGGUUAAUAAGAUAUUUAAUAAUUAAUAUCUUUAAAACUAAAUAAGGUAAAAUAAUCCUUGUCCCUAAAUAUGUUUUAAGCCUGUUUAAACGUUUCUUUGAAUUUAUUUUGAAUGAUUCUCCAACGGAUAGAUAUAUCAAAAUUAAAUUAAAUUUGAUACGGACUUCAUUGCGUAUUAGAAAUUUAAUAAAUGAAAAUUAAUUUUUUCGUGUUACUUAUCAAAAUUUCAGCUUUCGUUUCGGUAGUUUUAGCUACUUAGAUAAAUUAACUAAAUCAAAGUUUGAAGUUGUUUAGACACAAUUAGGCAAAUGCGGAAUUUGUGGAUAGACCAAAAGUUAGUAAGAAUACGGAACUCGUUCAAUGAAGUCCAAGUUAGAGAGGUCAUAGAUUGACGUUAUCUCAGAUACAGAAGUCAAUUCCCUAUAAAAUUGUAAAAAACAAUUAGGAAAAUGUAAUCUUAUAAAUAUAGUAUCAGUAAAAGAGGUAAAAUACACUCUCCGUCUCACUUAUAGAGGUAAAUGUGACUAUAAAAUCACAACAACGAAUCCCAGUUAUAGAGGUUCGUUUUUUCUCAGUAACAGAGGUAAUUCAGUGCUAAAGUGUCGGGACCGCACCAUGAGUCCCAGCUAUAGAGGUUUCUCACUUAUCCAGGUCCCACUUAACCAGGUUUCACUGUAUAUAUAUACCUAUAUACAUACAAAUAUUAAAUAUAGCAUUAUACUCAAUAAAUAAAUAAAAUCAACUAUAAAUCAAAAUAGAAAAGAAAAUAAUUAAUUAAUACAAUAGAUGAUAUACUAAAUAUAUUUAUGAAUAAAACUAAAUUAAGACAAAUAACAUUAAUUAUAAAAAAAACGUAAUACCAACAUUAAAUAAAUACCUACAAUUGAUAAUACAGUGAUAAUAAUAAACAAAUCAAUUAAAAAAAAAACGAACUUAAUUAAAAUAAGUUAAAUUAAUGCAAAAAAAUCAUACGUGUAAAAUAUAAAUACAAUACAAAUACACUUUGUAUUGUGUCCAUAAUAUGUAUAAUAAUAAGUUAAUGACCAGUUUACUUGUCAAAGAGAAUUCUCAAAGAUACCUAACAACCUAUUUGCCAUACCUACAAUAGGUCAAUGUAUAAAAAAAAAAAACAAACAAACAUAAAAUAAAUAAAAUAAUACAAAUAAUAAAAUAAUAAAGUAUUAUAUUAUACUACAAUACGAGUUUUUCGUCAUCAAUGUAGAAAAAUCAUUUUUAACCACAUAGUCAUUAAUGUUAUUAUUACCCAAUGUAUAAAAGAGCCAUAUACUAUUAUUUAAAAUCAGUGAACAAAUAUUAGCAUUAAGUAAGAACAGAUUGUAAAAAAAAAAACCCCCCAGUCAUACAGCACUAAAAUAAAACAACACACAUAUUAAUGCAACCAUUACAUAGUCAAUGACAUAUUAUAAAAAUUAUAUAUCAAAUUCUCAAAUUAUUAUAUUUUUCGGCAUCUAAAAAUAUCAAUUUACACUAAACCGUAAUUUUAUAUAACAAAUAAGACCCAAUUUAUAAUUUUUACCCUUAUUCCCUAGAACUUAAGUAUAGAUCGCAAAAGUCCCAGGAGGACGCUAGACAUAAUUUAAUUAAGACAAAACAAGUUAAUAAACAAAAAUAUACAAAAAACAAAAAAAAUAUAUAAAAAAAAACAUUCAUGUAACUAUAACGUAGGAGACUUAAUAUUAAAAAAAAAGGAAGAUAGAGAUAACAUGGACCCAGUAUACACGGAACCCUACACAGUAGCACAACACCAAGGUCAAACAUUAAAAUUAUUAGUAUCAGGAAAAGAAAACAUUGCACACCAAAACAGAACAAAGCACUAUUACCAUUAAAACUCACCUCUUCGGCACACCAGACACGAGAAACACAUACACACACAAACACACAAGUCAAAUUCAAACGUAAUUGCAAGUUCCAUGAUCGACACAAAUCCGCGAAGUAAGCGACAGAACUGAUCUAAUAAUCUAACAAUCCACAUUUCUUAUUUUACAAAAUGCAAUUUAAAACCGAUCACAUUUAAACUUACCAAGCCGACAGAAUCCACAAAAGGAUCUCCAUCUUCCUUAUUAGAACAUAAGAAAGCAAGCAACGCAUUGUUUACAGUAUUAUAUCUAAUGUCACAUAGGAAUAAUUGUAAGACACAUACUAAAUGUCAAUACCGCACUUUUAGCUAUAAGAUAAAUAUAGUCAUGUAACCUUUUAGGAUAAUUAAUAGCAGAAUAAGCAAAAUAAUAAACAACGACACCAAGGUGUUUAUUGUAAUUAAAUAGCAAAGUAGAAAUACGUAACGGGAAGUGAAAAGCAAGUAUUGUAAUUACAUUUAGAAUAUAAAGUAGAUAAUUUUAAGAACCUAUUAAUCUGUCAUAUGUUAACCAAUUUUUUUAUUUUUUAUUUAUUAUAUGUUAAGUGAAAUAUUUCCAACAUUGUAAACCUUUAAUUGUUUAAACCGUAAUUUAUCUUUAAUCAACUUAUUAAAAUGAUCCGUUAAAUUAUUUUAUUUAACAAUAGAUACCUAAUUAAAAUCAUAUUCUAAUUAAUAUUUAAAAUAACCUUGCUUGUUUCUUUUUUUUUAAAGGUAGCUUUAGUGUCUUUAUUUGUAUGUGCAUAUACGUUUUGUUUUAGAUUGUAAGGUUGGCAUGUAUUGGAAUAUUUUGAAAUUAAUGUCUUAGAUUAAGUUAUUAUGUACACUGAAAUUACGACAAAAAUAUAUUGUAACCUAUUUUUGUCUCAAAAAAAAAACGGGGAAGGUGUACGGUGAGUAGGCACAUGACGUGUUGGGUAUUAGGGUCAACACGUCAUGUGACAUUUAGGUGACAUUUAAUAAAUAGAAAAUAUAUUUAAUAAAAUAAACAAUAAUUCUAAGUACAUUUCAUAAAGGUCACCUAAAUGCCACUCACGUAGGCCACUAGUAUAUAAGCACCAAUUUACUCAAUAAAGGAGUUCAGUAUUCAGCAGA